UUCAGGUUUCCUUACAUUCCAAAAAGAGAGCCCAAGUCACUAGCUUGGAGUAAUUUGAAGUUAAUCUCCCACUGAUAUCUUCAUGAGCAUCUCUGCUACACCCCUCAAGAAAAUGACCCCAACAAAGCUGUACAAACAUGGUGUGUCUGUGAUUCCAUUUCCCUCUGGACUGUGGAGCUGGAUUCAUGUCACCAGCACACCGACAAACAAAAGGAAAUCCCUUGCUGCAGGAUAUUGCAGUCACAGGUCACGAAUGUUUAAGCAGGAGUUACUGCCAUCCAGAGGAGAAAAGCCAUAAGCUGCCGUAUUUCAUUAUUUUUUAAGCAUGGAAAGGCCCAUGCGGGAUGGGAGGAGCGGAUGCAGCCAUUCCCCAUUCCCCACUCCCCAUUCCCCAUUCCCC
This 400-nucleotide long non-coding RNA is filed under the name Lonchura striata (white-rumped munia). RNAcentral describes it as "domestica (Bengalese finch) lncRNA (ENSLSDG00000002833.1)". The record is from RNAcentral. Lineage: Eukaryota; Metazoa; Chordata; Aves; Passeriformes; Estrildidae.